UCGGGGAGAAAUGGGACGGGUGAGCGGGACGCUGCACAGGACAGAGGCCAUAAAUAAUUAAAGGGAAGUUGGGGAAGGGGCAGAAAUGGCUUUCCUCGUGAUGCGAUGUCACUGACGGGCUUAAAAACACGAACAAAAACCAGUGUCCGCCAAAGGGACAGACUCCUUAACUGGGCAAGUCGGGCCCGGCUUUGAUCACCUAGGGAACAGGUGCUACUCCCCUGCUGGGCCGCAGGGCUUGGUGUGCAGGAGGCAUCUAAAUAAAUGUGGAUUCCCUCCUCCCUCUCCUGGACUUUCUGGAACAGUUGCUUGGUUCUGUUUUGUUUUAUUUUUUACAACUUACACCUCAUCAUCUCCACAUUGUGAUCCAGUGACGUUCCUAGAAUAAGAUGCCAUCUCCCAACUCUUGCCAUUGUCACUGGAUCUUUCCUAUGAUGGGAAUUCUGUCUCUCCUCAUCUCUGCUUCCUGGAUUCUUUCAGAUUUAAUUAAAAUUUUGCCUUGUACAAGAAGCUUUUUUCAAUCCUCA
Antechinus flavipes (yellow-footed antechinus) is the source of this 527-nucleotide long non-coding RNA. RefSeq lists it as uncharacterized. The transcript has 2 exons. The record is from RefSeq and is a predicted model, not a curated record. NCBI's taxonomy places the organism in Eukaryota, Metazoa, Chordata, Mammalia, Dasyuromorphia, Dasyuridae.